RNAcentral lists this small RNA (86 nucleotides) under Aminobacter sp. J15. RNAcentral describes it as "suhB". The record is from RNAcentral. RNAcentral also lists the same sequence under 1 other name. Lineage: Bacteria; Pseudomonadati; Pseudomonadota; Alphaproteobacteria; Hyphomicrobiales; Phyllobacteriaceae.
GAGUGUUCCCCUCUGGAGGUUUAGCCUAACGGCACUUCCAAUAACUCAGCCGGGUCUUUCCAGAUCCGGCUUUUUUUCUGUCUUAA